This 72-nucleotide transfer RNA is filed under the name Bacteroidota bacterium. RNAcentral describes it as "Bacteroidetes bacterium tRNA-Asn". It matches the Rfam family "tRNA". From Rfam's summary of the family: Transfer RNA (tRNA) molecules are approximately 80 nucleotides in length. Their secondary structure includes four short double-helical elements and three loops (D, anti-codon, and T loops). RNAcentral also lists the same sequence under 1 other name. Lineage: Bacteria; Pseudomonadati; Bacteroidota. The record is from RNAcentral.
UCCUCGGUAGCUCAGCGGUAGAGCCCUCGACUGUUAAUCGAGUUGUCGUAGGUUCGAAUCCUACCCGGGGAG